Molecule: ribosomal RNA, 247 nt
Filed under: Escherichia coli
Lineage: Bacteria; Pseudomonadati; Pseudomonadota; Gammaproteobacteria; Enterobacterales; Enterobacteriaceae
Description: partial 23S ribosomal RNA
Rfam family: Bacterial large subunit ribosomal RNA
Source: RNAcentral
GGGAACUGAAACAUCUAAGUACCCCGAGGAAAAGAAAUCAACCGAGAUUCCCCCAGUAGCGGCGAGCGAACGGGGAGGAGCCCAGAGCCUGAAUCAGUGUGUGUGUUAGUGGAAGCGUAUGGAAAGGCGCGCGAUACAGGGUGACAGCCCCGUACACAAAAAUGCACAUACUGUGAGCUCGAUGAGUAGGGCGGGACACGUGGUAUCCUGUCUGAAUAUGGGGGGACCAUCCUCCAAGGCUAAAUAC